This 4182-nucleotide long non-coding RNA is filed under the name Sus scrofa (pig). RNAcentral describes it as "lncRNA (ENSSSCG00000052374.1)". The record is from RNAcentral. Lineage: Eukaryota; Metazoa; Chordata; Mammalia; Artiodactyla; Suidae.
GAGAAGUGAUUGCCGAGGGAAGAGCCCCCCAGAUCCGCUUGUUCUCCACCUAAGUAGAAGCCUCCUUGGACCAUGUCUACGACCUCCCACCUAGACUUAGGAGUGUAGUCUAACACGUCUCUCAUCCUCAAACUCCUGAGGCAGGAUUGCUGACUGCCAGUCCACCUCCUUCCAGGUGGCCCCUCAGCCAGGCUUAGGCUUGUGUCCAAGGAACUCUCACCUGCUGACCAUACUGAUAAACUUGGGCCAGGUGUUCUUUGUCCAAGCCUAUAAAUACCUAAAGCAUAUAUAACGUUGUGUAUUAGGAGUAAAGGGAGGGUGUAUGUAGAUUUUUCAGGAGAAAGAAGCUGUAAUUACCAACACAUUCUUAAUAGAAAGCAUGACCCUCAAGUAAUCACUGGCCCAGAAGAUCUAUGUUUAUAUUUAUUCUAAAUAACAAAAUCUUUAUUUUAAUAAUGAAAUUAAUAUAAUCAGUUAAUGCAAUGAAUAGUCAAACAGUACAAACAAUGCAGAAAUGUAUUCAUUUAUCCAUUUAAUGUCUUUAUUGAGUACCUAUACAAGGUGCUAAGAAUACAAUGGUGAGAAAAACAGAUGAAGUCUUUGCAUUUAUGAAACUCACAGACUAGUAGGGGAUAUACAUUAAUCAAAUAAUCACACAAGUGCAUGUAAAAUUAAAAUUUCAUGUAAGUGCUAAGAAAUAACAGGACACAGAUAUAUAGGAGUAUAUAGCAGAAGAUCAAGACAUUCUGAGGGGGCAAAAAGGGGACAUAAAAAAAUUCCUCAAGGAAGUGAAAUUUGGGCUAAAAUAAGGAAAAGUGUAGUUAACUAGGCAAAGACUAUAUAAAUGUCUGUACCCUUACUGUUACAGAAUACCUUUCUAAUUCACUGUGGUGUAUCCUUCUAGCUGGUUUACUAUCCGCAUAGAAAUAGGUAUGUGUGUAUAUAUGUAUGUAUUUAAGUGUAAUUGGAAUAAAUCUCAAUCCACAAACGCAAGUGUGUAAGGCAUCCAACUUUUAUUUUCCACAGCAAUUCUCAUAAUUUCCAUUUUUGUCUUCUCAUUCCAUGGAGUGACUGAAACAUUACCAGUUCAAAAUCUACUGUUUUUUCCAUGGUGUGUCUAAGUUCAAGGAUGCUUAUACAGUGCCUUAGAGUUGUUGCAAGGAAGGAGUCCACGUGGUUCUAGAACUGUUCUACACAAAUCCCCAUUUUCAUUCCCUCCCUGAGGCCCCUUCAGACAUGAUGGCUCUCUAUUUGCUUCUGUGUCUUCCUUGAAUAAUCAAGACUUUCUCUGCUAUUCCUCUCCAUUGCCAUGGUGAGAUAUAGAAAGCUUGGUAAGACCCUAUUUUAUCUAACUGGAAGAAAUAUAAAUCAGCCGUCCCCCGCCCAGAUGUCUUUUAAAAAAUAUAAGUCACCUACACAACCCAACAAACAUAUCUGAGGAAUCUCCAAGUCAAUGGCAGACUGAACUGACUUGGAACUGACCCCUUCUACUUAAAAAUCACUUAAAACUCACAGAAAUGAUAAAAUAUGCAACCCCUCUAAAAGUAGUGGUAUAGUCAAGCUCAUAAUCAUGAAAUGGAAAUCCCCGAGAAACAAAGAAAGAACGAACAAUAGUAAGCAGGAGAUAAAGACAGAUAGAUGGAUAUUGGCUUUAAGGACUGAGUAAUAGGGUUUUAAUCCCACAUGGCAACAGGAGGCAAUGCCUCUAGGCAGUGGAAGACGGAAAGCUGGUACUGAGCUCCUGUCUAAAUCCAGAUCCCAUAGAAGCACUACCACUACAUAAAAUGAGGACUAAACUUUUUCUUACAGCAAAGAUAUAUAACAAGAAAGCUUGUCAUUUACAUGAGGUUAUGAGUGGGUAAAAAGACCCCGGGAGCAAUCAGAAGCCAGGUCUGCUCCACCCGUAAGUGUGGGGUUGAAUUCAGAGUUCCUACAUGUUAGAGAACCACAGGGACAUAAACUAACAUAAAAAUUAAUCUGCAACUGGUUCAACUUGUAUGGCCCUAGCAGAGGUAAUCUCAAAAGCAAAGAGAUAAUUAAGAUACUCAAAAAUAGAUCUCAAGGAAAAUCCUCCAGAAUGCAGCACACACACAAAAAGGUACAAAAUAUGAAUGGAAGAAGUCCUAAUAAAUAAAGACUAAAGAGAAAAAGUAAAAGGGAAUAUUUGAAUAGAUUAUGGCACAGAAUUUUCAACUGAAGCAAGACAUUAAUCCUCACAUUAAACAUAUUGACUUUUGAGUAGAUAGAAUACAAAUAAAACCAUAACUAGACACAUCUUAGUAUAGAGCAUCAAAUAUACCUAGCAUGAUACUCUCAUGUGUUUGGGCUUUGGGAAAUCACAAAGUCCUUUCAUAAACCUUUCCUGAAGAAAAGAAUAGGGGAAAAAGAAAAGUGAGAAAUAUUGUGGGAGAAAAAAAAAAGAAUAUAAGUUUAUAUCUAAAACAUAGUAUUCUAUCAUAUAUGCAUUAUAUAAAUAUGUAUAUAUUUGUCAUCUCCAGUGCAAUAUUAAACCUCUAUUUUAAGAAUAAAUAGGAAACCAUCUUCAAGGAAAGUAGGAAAUUGCACUCUUUCCAGGAUUCCAAUUAGAGAGUAAAUGGAAAUAUUCAAUAGUUUUUGGUGUCCAUCAUCCCAAUCCUUAGUAAAUUAUUGUAUAUAUAUUUUUUUCAUUCUGACAAUUCAGAGGUUUCCUUCAGAGACAUAAGUAGGAUAAGCCCACUGAGAAAUGGUAUCAGCUGUUAGUUAAGCCACAGUCUCUACACAGCUUAUUUGUUUGCACUCUGUUUUCUCUUGGGCACUAAAUUCUGAGCACAGCUCUUUUAAGCUGCAACUAAAGUAAUCAACAUACAACACAAUACAAUACAAUAAUGGUAGCUGCAAUACUGUGUUAUGAAAUACUUAUCUGGAAGAAGUAGGGGAGACAAAGUGAGAAAACAAAUGAAUUAUGGGUAGCAGUCUAAAGAAUCUUUCUGAGAAAUCUUUAAUCUACCACUUAGGUAAGCAUCACUAGGUAUGUCUAAGAAACAACGUUUGAAGAAAACGCACAUGUAGUGAAGAAUAAAUGCAGAAUCAUAAAAUUUAUUUCAAUCAAAUCCAAGUCCUACCUCCAAGGGAUAUCUCCCAGAAGACCUUCCUUGGAGUUUUCUAUUCUCGAAAUUUCUCCAGUCCCUUGUAUUGUUUACAUAGAUGACUAUUCAUAUUCACUGUAUGUGCACUUCAAAACUUAUCGCCCAUUGAAAUAGAUCUGUUUAAGGAGUCAGAUAUAAUCUUCAGCAAAAUAAGUAAUAACAGCACUGAAAGGAAUACAAUUAAAGCAGAAAAAUAAUUUCUGGGAUUGGAAAACAUGAUUUCCAAGCUUAAAAACUCAGAUUAAAUAGGAAAGGAAAUACAAUCUAAAAAGGAGAGAAUUUAUAGUCACAUCUUAACAAAAUAAAAUUAUAAAUAAAUAAUAAAAGAUCAUCAUUAAAUGUAACUGCCUGAUAAUAUAGCACUGUUCUCCAAAAUAACCCCUGGAUCAAAGAGGAAAUUAAAAAUAAAACUGCAAGCUAUAAGGAAAGCAAAGAAAAGAAGAAUAUAUCACAUCAAAGUUUAUGGCGCAUGACUAAAGGUAUACUUAGAGAAAAUAAAUAGUCUUAAUUACCAUUAUUAUCCAAGAAGACCGUAAAUAAAAGAAAUAAUCCCUCUUCUUCAAAAACUAGAAAAGUACAACAGAACAAAUCCAAAGAUAGAAGAAAUUAGCAAAGUUAAAAAUAAUGACCAGAAAAAGGCAUUGUAGAAUUCAUAAAUAAAAGGCUAGUUCUUUGAAAAGACCAGUAAAAUAAACAUACUCUUCAUGAGUACAACUAUGUAAUAACAGAAGAAAAACAAAAGUGUAUAUAUAUUUAUGAAGGGAACCAGGAUCAAAUGGCUUUGCAGGAGUUCCCGUCGUGGCGCAGUGGUUAACGAAUCCGACUAGGAACCAUGAGGUUGCGGGUUCGGUCCCGGCGCUUGCUCAGUGGGUUAACGAUCCAGCGUUGCCGUGAGCUGUGGCGUAGGUUGCAGACUCGGCUCGGAUCUCGCGUUGCUGUGGCUCUGGCGUAGGCCGGUGGCUACAGCUCCGAUUAGACCCCUAGCCUGGGAACCUCCAUAUGCUGCGGGAGCAGCCCAAAGAAAUAGCAAAAAGGCAAAAAAAAAAAAAAAAAAAAA